AAAAGAUCAUGCACCAUGAUCAAGUGGGAUUCAUCCCAGUGAUGCAAGGUUGGUUCAACAUAAGGAAAUCAAUCAGUGUAAUUAAUCACAUCAAUAGACUCAAAGAUAAGAAUCAUAUGAUCAUCUCAAUAGAUGCAGAAAAAGCAUUUGACAAAAUAUAGCACCCUUUCAUGUUCCAAACACUAGAAAAACUAGGGAUAACAGGAACAUAUCUCAACAUCAUAAAGGCUAUCUUUGCUAAGCCCCAGGCCAACAUCAUUCUAAAUGGAGAAAAAUUGAAGGCAUUCCCUUUAAAAACUAAAACAGACAGGGAUGCCCUUUUUCAACACUUCUAUGUUAAAUAAGUAUUAAAUAUAGUUCUGGAAACACUGGCCAGAGCAAUUCGACAAAAGAAAUUAAAGAGAUACGUAUAGGAAAAGAAGAACUUAAAUUAGCACUACUUGUGGACAAUAUGAUUCUAUAUCUAGAAGACCCAGAAAGCUCCACCAGAAAACUUCUAGAACCUGUAAAUGAAUUCAGCAAAGUAGCAGGAUAUAAUAUCAACACCCAUAAAUCAAAGUCAUUUCUAUAUAUCAGUGACAAAUCCUCAGAAAGGGAAACAAGGAAAACUACCCUUUUACAAUAACCUCAAAUAACAGCAACAACAACAACAGCAACAAACAACAAACAACAAACAAAAAAACAAAACAAAACCUGGGAAUCAACUAUCAACUUAACGAAAGAGGUGAAAUAUCUAUACAAUGAAAACUACAGAACCCUAAAGAAAGAAAUCAAAGAAGACCGUAGAAGAUGGAAAGAUCUACCUUUCUCUUGGAUAGAUACUUUAUAAAUAUUUGUCAAAGGACUAUACUGUGGUGAGCCGCUUCUG
This 868-nucleotide long non-coding RNA is filed under the name Marmota monax (woodchuck). The record is from RNAcentral. Lineage: Eukaryota; Metazoa; Chordata; Mammalia; Rodentia; Sciuridae.